UCGAGAAUCUUCCGCAAUGCGCGAAAGCGUGACGGAGCGACACCGCGUGAUGGAUGAAGUCCUUCGGGGCGUAAACAUCUUUUAUAAAGGAGGAAAUUUUUGACGUUACUUUAUGAAUAAGGGGCUCCCAAUCUCGUGCCAGCAGGAGCGGUAAUACGAGAGCCUCAAGCGUUAUCCGGAAUCAUUGGGCGUAAAGGGUGCGUAGGUGGUUUGAUUAGUCUCCCGUUAAAACUUCGAGCUUAACUCGAAAAGAGCGGGGGAAACGGUCAAACUAGAGUAUGUGAGAGGUGUGUGGAACUCAUGGUGUAGGGGUGAAAUCCGUUGAUAUCAUGGGGAACACCAAAAGCGAAGGCAGCACACUGGCACAUCACUGACACUGAGGCACGAAACCUAAGGUAGC
Molecule: ribosomal RNA, 400 nt
Filed under: uncultured bacterium
Lineage: Bacteria
Description: bacterial SSU rRNA
Rfam family: Bacterial small subunit ribosomal RNA
Source: RNAcentral